Camponotus floridanus (Florida carpenter ant) is the source of this 1965-nucleotide RNA transcript. It is a transcript of the gene named lysophospholipase-like protein 1, with no coding region annotated. The transcript has 8 exons. Lineage: Eukaryota; Metazoa; Arthropoda; Insecta; Hymenoptera; Formicidae. The record is from RefSeq and is a predicted model, not a curated record.
AGUUGUUAGUGACGAUUUUAUUCUAUGUCUGAUCAUGAUAUAUUGGUAGAAAGAUAUAGUGCAGCUUUUAUUUUUAUACAUUGAAUUGUAAUUUUAGAAAGCUGAGACGGACAAUAAAUAGUAGUAGUUUCAAGAAAAUGACAACAAUCGCAAGAAUUUCACAAGCAAAUAUCGUGCAAGCUACAAGGAAACAUACAGCUACUGUGUUUUUUUUCCACGGUUCCGGUGGCACAGCAGAAGAUGUCAAAGAAUGGAUUGACAUUCUUAACAGAGAAAAACUACAGUUUCCACAUAUAAAAUUAAUUUAUCCCAGCGCACCAAGUCAACCUUAUACACCAAAUGACGGAAUGAUGCAAAAUGUAUGGUUUGAUCGUAUAGCAAUAUCUAAUCAAGUGCCAGAACAUAUAGAGUCAAUUGAUUCUAUGUGUCAAAAUAUAUCAGAGUUGAUCGAUAAAGAAGUAGCUAAUGGAAUUCCAUUUAACAGAAUAAUUUUGGGUGGCUUUUCAAUGGGUGGUUGUCUUGCAUUGCAUUUAACAUACAGAUACAAAACAUCCAUAGCUGGUUGCUUCGCUAUGUCUUCUUUUCUGAACAAUGGAUCUAUAAUCUAUGAGCACUUAAAAGCAAGGCCAGAACAUAAUAAGGUUCCACUUGUUCAAUAUCAUGGUACAGUAGAUACUUUAGUUCCUAUUAAAUGGGGUGAAGAGACUGCUAACAAUUUGAAGGAGCUUGGCGUAAAUGUAAAAUUUACACCGCUACAAAAUAUUGAUCAUGAAUUGAGUCGUGGAGAGAUUCAAAGUUGGAAAGAUUGGCUCCUUAAUAUCUUACCAGAUAAAUAAUAAUGUCAAUUGAUACAAUUGUUAAAUUCACAUGGAAUAUGCUCACAAUUCAUUUCAUAUAAACAGAUGUUACUUGAAUCAAUUCUUGGAUUUUUUCUUGAAUUUUGAAAUGCCCGAGAUGCUUUUAAAUGUUGAACAUUAAUCGUUAAGCUUCGUAAUACAUGUGUAUGUGUUUGGUGUCGACAUUCAGCAAGCAAAAUAUUGGCGACAGAGAUCAAGCAGAUCUGCUAUGUUGUGAUAUUAUAGUUUGAAAAUUCUUAAAAUCUUGGUCCUUGGGUCGCUUGGCCCUCGAUAUCAUGGAAAAAAAUAUUUCCCCGCAUCGGAGAUUAAGAUCGCGAUCCUCCCUCCUCCAGCUUUCCUUGCCAUCCCUUUUAGCGUGUAUAUGCACGCAUGCGACGAAAGUGAAGAAGGGGCAAAUCGCGCCGACGAGUCCAUCGGCAACGAGUGCGCAGUGAAACGAAGAGGGUUGAACUGCGACGGAAUUGCUGCGCCUUUCGGAUAACUCCGGAUGGGGUGGGUGGUGGAUAGCCCCACUGGCCGCCUGGCGUUCUCGUUCUCGCUACCGAUGUCACGUCAUGACACGGACGUUUAUUUUUCGUCGCAGUAUCGACUUUUAUGAGAAAGAUAUAAAGCACACGUUAUCAGUUAUUAGUUGCAAUACAAAAUACCUCGAUGUGGAAUCGAUGUUUAACAACGAGGAACUUGCGAGGAGGGUGAACAUGAAAGGGAACGGAUUAGUGCGUGUCGAGCUAAAAAUAUUCCUAUAGGGGGAAAUCUUUAAAAAGAACGAGACAAUAUAGACACAUACACAUAGAAAAUAUAUAUACAUAUUAAUAUAUAUAUACAGGGUGGAAAACUUGUAUUGUAAAAACGUGGAACUGAUAUAUACACAAUGAUGGUGAUAUUUGCGACGAGCAAUUUCUACGGAGUGAACAUAAUAAAAUUGUAAGAAGGAAAAGGAAGGGCAGAGUGGACGCUCAUCGAUGUGCAAAUAAGUGUGUCCGGAGACGCGCCGGUGAACGCUCGAUGGUAAAUAAUAUGGCGCGUGUUGGGCCGCAGUUGGUGACGUCAAGGAUUGAAAGGUAUGUCGAUGGUUCGAUGUAAAGAGGCUGGGCAACGAAAGUGGAUA